AAAUGUAAGUCGAGCGAACAGAAGGGAGCUUGCUCCCGGAUGUUAGCGGCGGACGGGUGAGUAACACGUGGGUAACCUGCCUGUAAGACUGGGAUAACUCCGGGAAACCGGAGCUAAUACCGGAUAGUUCCUUGAACCGCAUGGUUCAAGGAUGAAAGACGGUUUCGGCUGUCACUUACAGAUGGACCCGCGGCGCAUUAGCUAGUUGGUGGGGUAAUGGCUCACCAAGGCGACGAUGCGUAGCCGACCUGAGAGGGUGAUCGGCCACACUGGGACUGAGACACGGCCCAGACUCCUACGGGAGGCAGCAGUAGGGAAUCUUCCGCAAUGGACGAAAGUCUGACGGAGCAACGCCGCGUGAGUGAUGAAGGUUUUCGGAUCGUAAAGCUCUGUUGUUAGGGAAGAACAAGUGCGAGAGUAACUGCUCGCACCUUGACGGUACCUAACCAGAAAGCCACGGCUAACUACGUGCCAGCAGCCGCGGUAAUACGUAGGUGGCAAGCGUUGUCCGGAAUUAUUGGGCGUAAAGGGCUCGCAGGCGGUUUCUUAAGUCUGAUGUGAAAGCCCCCGGCUCAACCGGGGAGGGUCAUUGGAAACUGGGAAACUUGAGUGCAGAAGAGGAGAGUGGAAUUCCACGUGUAGCGGUGAAAUGCGUAGAGAUGUGGAGGAACACCAGUGGCGAAGGCGACUCUCUGGUCUGUAACUGACGCUGAGGAGCGAAAGCGUGGGGAGCGAACAGGAUUAGAUACCCUGGUAGUCCACGCCGUAAACGAUGAGUGCUAAGUGGUUAGGGGGUUUCCGCCCCUUAGUGCUGCAGCUAACGCAUUAAGCACUCCGCCUGGGGAGUACGGUCGCAAGACUGAAACUCAAAGGAAUUGACGGGGGCCCGCACAAGCGGUGGAGCAUGUGGUUUA
Molecule: ribosomal RNA, 914 nt
Filed under: Bacillus sp. (in: firmicutes)
Lineage: Bacteria; Bacillati; Bacillota; Bacilli; Caryophanales; Bacillaceae
Description: bacterial SSU rRNA
Rfam family: Bacterial small subunit ribosomal RNA
Source: RNAcentral